This 2633-nucleotide long non-coding RNA is filed under the name Nicotiana benthamiana. Its description in RNAcentral is "long non-coding RNA (NBEN_LNC034086)". Lineage: Eukaryota; Viridiplantae; Streptophyta; Magnoliopsida; Solanales; Solanaceae. The record is from RNAcentral.
GCAAACUACGAAUAUUCAUGUUAAUCAAAGUUAAAGUUCAAUUUAAACUACUAAUUUAAAAUAUGAUUUGGAUAAUACACUAGGCAUUUAAUUGUUUGAAGAAGAAAUGGGGCGGCAACAGGCACGGUUUGUUAUCUACAAGUGGUUUUAAGAGAAAUGGUGGCUGGUGGGAAUUGGACUCGAAAUGGAGCCCAAGAGUGACGACAAAGGGCAAAGCAAGCCUGGCCUUGACCAGACAAAUACAAUUGGACCAGUAUUAGACCCAACAUUAAAGGUAAGCUUUUAAUGUCGCAAUACAUUUAUUAUAUCAACAAAAAAUUUAGGAAACAAUAUGCUAAAGAUACAUGGGCUAUAAUUGUGGCCAAAAAGUGAAAGAGAACAUGAUCCAUUCACAUAGAGCUUGUUUCCAAAACGAGCUGACUCAUCUGGGCCAAACACCAGGCCAGUUUUCCUAAACAGAGGACCUUCGGUGUCCAUACCUUUAUAGGGAAUGAUUUCAUUUUUUACAUAGAAAUUAGUUACCCAAUGUCUAAGGAUGCAAAAUAUUAGUCAACUAUGGUAAAUUAAUUUGUUUAAACAUACUGCUAAUACUAACAACAAGAGACGACACCUCAAACUCAUUCAUGAAUCACCCCAAAACUUAAAUACAUAAUCCUUUUAACAAUGCAAAAAUCUAAAAUAGUUUGACAUUGCUCUUUACAGUACAUACAGAGCCUAUCUUAAUAAGAUCAAAAGAGCUAACAAGGCAUUUACGCCUUUUAAAACUGUCAAAAACCAAUACACAAAAUGAAUCGAUCCAACUAUUUAUACAUGUAACUAAGCUAAUAGCGUAAAACAUUAGAUGUAGAAUACCUAAAUAAAUAUUAACCAAGAAACAACCUACACGAGGAAAUCUGGAAUUUAAAAAUUGGAUGAUCAAUUUUAUUACAACAAACGACUAAAUACAUGCUUCAAACAUCAUUUCCCAUUCAAGGGUUCAAGAGGUACCUCAAUAUCAAGAGCUAUGCACAACUUAAACUUAAUCUAUAUUCGAACCCAAAAACUAGAAAUCCAGCUGAGACGUUUCUAAGUUCUUGCUAAGGAAAAAUUAGAAGAAAACAAACUAACUCCCAAUGAAAUCGUGCAAAAAAUCCUUUAAAUCUUUUUUAGGGUUCGAAAAUCUCUAAUCCCCAACUGUCACGAAAAGCUCUAUUUUAUAAGCAUCUAAAAUUCCAUAUGCUAAAACAGAAUAAGGGAGUUAUUCCUUUCAGCCACAAAGGCAUCUUCUAACAAACUAGGACAGCUGGUUGUCCUUCAUUGGCUUCAGCAUUUUGUGCUAAUCCAAUAAUACUAGCUGCUCCUAUUCUAGAACUUUCCCACAUGGUCUUAUCUUAUUUGAUACUUGCUCACCCUUCAAACAAACCUUUUAAGUUUUUUUAUUGUUCAACUAACCCCUACAUGUUCUUAAUGACAUACAAACUAUAUCAUAAAGAAACAAACAACCAAAUAUCAAUAGAUUAAUCAAACAGCAAAUAACAAUGCUAAAACUGUGAAUAUUCGAAAACAUGAAAAAAAAAUCAAACCGCUAAUAUGAACCAAAUUAUAAUGAAACUCAUCAAUGUUCUUCUGACUAACAAGACGACUGAGUAAAAACUAAACCUAGACUAAUUAUACAUUAAUUAAACCAAACUAUUUAAAAGUUAAACUAAUUAAGCAUUUUUCACCAUAUUAAUAAAACAAGACCGCAAAGAUACAUAAAACUAGCAUAAUAAAACUAAACAAUUUUAAUAGUUAAACUAAUCAUACCGAUCAUCAUACUUAUCCAGUAAAUUAAAACAACAAAAAGAUAAUUAAAACUAAUAAUAAACUAAACUACUUUACGAGUUAAACUAAUUAACCGUGAGCUUAAUCAAAUUAACAAACCCUAACAUAGAACUUGGUUGAACAUGAUUACAAAUAAAACAAGCAAACUAAACUGAAAAAAAUAAGAAAGUACUGACUCGACCUAAAUAGAAGAGAAAGGAAGGGACAUUGGUAAUACUACCCAUCUUACUUGGAAGGAAAAGAGAGGGUAAUUUUGAUAGCCUACUCGACUCUGAUUGACCAUUCAAAGGCCUUUUCUUCAAGGAAUUCGGCCUUACAUGGGUUCCGACCGGAUCUCCUUGAAACAAAAGACUAAUGAGAUGGCCAAACAUAGGUGACCCCUCAAACUCGACUAUUGAACGAAAAACAGAUCCAAGGAUUCGAAGUGGUCUAGUUGUUUACUAAAUCUAUAUUUUUGGUUUUAUGGGGUAAUUUUGAGCAAUCACUAAUGGGGUUGAGAUUAGAGGGAUGUGGAGGUUAUGAGGGGUGGACAUGAGUUUGUUUUGGAGGAAUAAUGGUGAAUUAGGGUUUAAUUUCAGAUCUUGAAUUGGCAAGUUUGGGGGAGAUUUUGUCGAAGUUGAUGAUGGAUUAAUGUUUCAGAGUUGUGGGGAGUGUGGAUGGUGACUUUGGGGUUGUUUAAUGACUGGCCGCCGUCGUAGGACUAUUUCUAGUGUGCGGCAGCUAGUGGUGAGAGAAUAGAGAAUAGGGGCAGCUAGGGUUUGCAAUUUGGAGAGACAUAGGGAAAAUGGGGAGGGAUCUCUAAGUUUAUAGGUGUGUUUAGGACAGUCUUA